RNAcentral lists this ribosomal RNA (468 nucleotides) under uncultured bacterium. RNAcentral's name for it is "partial 16S ribosomal RNA". It matches the Rfam family "Bacterial small subunit ribosomal RNA", at positions 28 to 507 of the family's 1533-position model. The record is from RNAcentral.
GACGAACGCUGGCGGCGUGCUUAACACAUGCAAGUCGAACGGAAAGGCCCUGCUUUUGUGGGGUGCUCGAGUGGCGAACGGGUGAGUAACACGUGAGUAACCUGCCCUUGACUUUGGGAUAACUUCAGGAAACUGGGGCUAAUACCGGAUAGGAGCUCCUGCUGCAUGGUGGGGGUUGGAAAGUUUCGGCGGUUGGGGAUGGACUCGCGGCUUAUCAGCUUGUUGGUUGGGUAGUGGCUUACCAAGGCUUUGACGGGUAGCCGGCCUGAGAGGGUGACAGGCCACAUUGGGACUGAGAUACGGCCCAGAAUACUACGGGAGGCAGCAGGGGGGAAUAUUGCACAAUGGGCGGAAGCCUGAUGCAGAAACGCCGCGUGCGGGAUGACGGCCUUCGGGUUGUAAACCGCUUUCGCCUGUGACGAAGCGUGAGUGACGGUAAUGGGUAAAGAAGCACCGGCUAACUACGUG